This 84-nucleotide transfer RNA is filed under the name Planctomycetota bacterium. RNAcentral describes it as "Planctomycetes bacterium tRNA-Leu". It matches the Rfam family "tRNA". From Rfam's summary of the family: Transfer RNA (tRNA) molecules are approximately 80 nucleotides in length. Their secondary structure includes four short double-helical elements and three loops (D, anti-codon, and T loops). The record is from RNAcentral. Lineage: Bacteria; Pseudomonadati; Planctomycetota.
GCGGGCGUGGCGGAACUGGCAGACGCGCGGGAUUUAGGUUCCCGUGUCCGCAAGGACGUGGAGGUUCGAAUCCUCUCGCCCGCA